AUUCGGUCAUUAUAAAUUUCUACUGACAUACUUUAUUUUUAUUACUUGAGGGUACCAAAAAGAGCGAGGGGAGGAAUCUGGGGGAUGGGGUCCUAGAUAUGGAUAGUAAACGGUGCAGUACGAUACGGUUGCGGGACAAACCCGCGCACACUCGCGAAGACUCCAACCCGUUCCGCCCCACCCCAUUUUCAAUCCCCAGUCCUAAAGAGAGGGUAGGACUGCCACUUAGCCCACCAACAGGUAUCAUGCAUUAGGACUAAGGCAUUUCCCAUCCAUCUUUCCUCUCACCAUCAGAGAUCAGAAGCAUCAAUCUAGUCUUAUCAAGUUAUACGAGGCGCGAAUGGGAAUUCACUUACGUGAUCUUAUUGUAUGUAUAUAUUUUAUUUUUCUCAAAAUAUUUAGGUUAAAUAAAUAAGUUGACACUUAACUAUCGAUCAAAUCCUUGUUACACAUUUUCUGUAGGGGAAAAUAAUAUUAUACAUUCAAUCUUUUAAAAGUAUGUCUAAUACACACCACUUUAGUAUUUGAUCACUUUUUCUCAACAAGUGUAUAUCACGCACCAAUAAAAUUCUGGCACAUGUCAUCAAUUUAAAAUAAAAGGAAAACAUUUAAAAACUAUACUCCAUCUUCUUCAGCUUAGUCUUCAGAAAAUCUUGUCAAAGCAAAGCCAGAAAUCUUGUAUUUUAAACCACCAAAGUGAUAGACAAAAACAACUUCCAUUUUAACCCAAAAACAAUGAAUUUUCAUUCCAUUUUUAAAAUUCAUAGCUGCCACAAAAAACAUAACAAUCACCCACCAUUUUCGAGCAAAAGAUCUCAGACUGCUUCUCACCCAAAUCCACCACCAUAGAUAGAAUAUUUUCAUAUUCAAACAAAAAAAGACGAAAAGAACGAGUAUAAGCCCCCUAUAAUUUGGAUUGCUAUACUCUAAGUUUGUAAAUUUUUGCUCAAUUUCAAGAACCCAUUUGAUUUCCAAAUCAACAACGUAAAUCUCAACUAAAUAAUUCUAAUAGUAAGACGAGAGUAUUUCAAAUCUAACAUAUCAGUUACACUUAAAUAAAUAAAAAAGUAAAAAAAGAUGCUUCAAUGGAGGAAAAUGGUGUGGGAUGGUGUUGAUGAGGAAAAUAAAGAAGGGACAGAGAGUUCUAAAUAAAUAAAGGUUUAAAAAAAAGGAUGAAAAGAAAAGAGAAGGGCUGGAGGUGGAGGUUGGGCGGCGAAAAAACAAAAAGAGAUAGAGAGAGAGUGGGGAAGAUGAGAGAUUCACAGAUACGUGAAAUUAAAUAAGUAUUUAAAUAGUAUUUUAGCUGGUAGACGCACUUGUAUUUUGGUGUGUUACACAUGCUAGGUCUUGGUCAAAGAAAGUGUGUCUUAGACAUACUUUACAAAGUUUGGGCUCGUAAAAAAUUACUCGUGAAGGAA
RNAcentral lists this long non-coding RNA (1418 nucleotides) under Nicotiana benthamiana. RNAcentral's name for it is "long non-coding RNA (NBEN_LNC036641)". The record is from RNAcentral. Lineage: Eukaryota; Viridiplantae; Streptophyta; Magnoliopsida; Solanales; Solanaceae.